Molecule: long non-coding RNA, 2883 nt
Filed under: Gallus gallus (chicken)
Lineage: Eukaryota; Metazoa; Chordata; Aves; Galliformes; Phasianidae
Source: RNAcentral
GGUCCAUGGCUUCUUGCUUGAUAGGGACUGGAUCAAACAUUAGCAUCUUCUUUAUUCACCUCUUCUGAUGCCUGUGAUGUCCUGGCCAAAACUGUGUGGACAAACACUUCUCGUUAUCUGCAAUUCUGAACAGAGCGGCGCUCCCGCAGGGCCGGGACGGCGCGGGGCGACGGGGCUGGGGGCGCUGCGGCGACUCCGGGCCGGCGUGUCCCGCGGCUGAGGCGCCUCCGCGGUGGCUCCGGGUCUGUGUGCGAGGAGGAGCCGCCCGCCGCCGCCCUGCCUCCCGCCCUCCGCCCGCCUCCCCCCCGGGCUGCUGGCACCGGGCCGCGCUGUCACAUGACGCGGCGCCUCUCGCCCUGCCAGGCUCCCCGGGCCGGCGGGGUGAGCGCUGGGAGGGUCACGGAGGGGAGCGCGGGAGGGCGGCUCCCGCCCGCGGGGUGGAGGCUCCGCCGAGGGCCGAGGCGAGUCAGCGCGCACAAACAGCCGGGCACGCACUGACUGCGCGCCGCCCGCCCUGCCUCCCGGGGGCAGACGGCCCCGCGCAGACACUAAUUAUCCCCAGCAGCCCGGGGAGGGGAGGGGAGCGGAGCGGAGCGGGGCCACCGCCCGCCGACAAACCUGCCCGGCCAGCUGCUGCUCCCCGCCCGGCUGUCAGGCAGAGGCGUGCGCCUGGCACCCGGCUCGCAGCGCACCCCGUUCCCUCCCUCCGCGCCCACCCCGGCCGACCUGCGGCGGCAAAACAACAGCAACACCCAGCGCCCGGGGGGCAGGAAGGGAGGUGCUCGCUCUGGGGCGCUGCCGCCGAGCUGCCUCCGCCGGCGGGGGCUGGGAGAGGCAGCGGGGAGGUGCGGGGCUGCCCGCGCCGCGCCCCGGCGCGACGGGAGGGGAGGGGAAUGGAGGGGAGGGCCGCGCCGAGGCGAGGGCCGGCGGCCGGGCGGCCAAGCGGGGGGCAGAGGUGUGGGCCCGCCUCCGCCCGGCUUGGCGGCUCGCCCGGCCCGGCUGCUUGAGGCCCGUGCCGGGGUGUUUCGUACGGCUGCAGUCGGCCCGUCGCGUCCGGCAGCGCUGGCGGCUCCCCUCACCGCGCCGCCUCAGCACCGCGGGCGGCACCGGCCCCGAGUUCGGUGUUCCGCGGGACAGCCCCCGGCUCGGCCCCGCUCCGGCUCCUCUGGCAGCGGAGAGCGGCCUCCAGGCUCCGGCACACGGACAGCCUCGUGGAAGCGAAACCCGUCCCAGCACGGCGCUUGCCGCUCGGGGCGGGGUUCUGCCCGUACCGAUAGGAAGCGGCGGCCACUUGUCGCCGUAGCCACCUGUGGACUUCCCUUGGAAAACUGUUUUAAAAAAGUAAUCUCGGGUUGCUGUCUGAGCUCUCUUAAAAGUUCUGCCGCAAACGCACUGCAUAAAAUUGUUGUAUAGACGUUGUACCAUGUAAAAUCCUGUCCUCUCCUGGUCGAUAAAUGGCACCUAACACUUGAAGCAAGGGGUGACCGCCAUGCUUGGUCGGUGCUCCUUGAGACCCAUCUGUGUGCUAAACGCCCUGAGUAGGACGCCAGCGUAACACGCCUCUCUGUGCACGUUUGGGUUGUUGUUAUUUCUUCUUUCCUUGAUUAUUGCUCACUGAGUCAGUAGGGCUGUAAGAGCACGUGUUCGGUCUACAUCUUUAUUUCUAGGAUGUCUCAGUGUGUCCCUUGACUUCGCUUGCUACUCUGAAUGGCUUUGAAAAGCAAACCAAGGCACUGAUCUGAAGCCCUGAAGGGUAUGACUCACUGACAUAACAAUACAUUGUAGUAUCUCCUGGAUAAUUACACUGCAUCAUGUCACAACAAGGUAUUGUUGAAAUAUUAUCAUGUAGCUCAUAAAGUGUGAUUUUUUUUUUAUUGUAAGCCUAUAAAAUAAACAAAACUGUUGUGUUAGAACAGACGUGCAGACACAAAGCAUUUUGUUAGGGCUGUGAAAAGGAGCUGUAGUAGCAAACACACUCAAGAUAACACAUUUGUAUCGCAAUUUGGCAUUGUUUUAUUUAGGGAACUAGCACAGAUGUCACCACUAGCUACAACUCUAAGUCAGGGACAGAGUGGUUUUGAUGUGAAACUGCGAUACAGGACAAAAUAUUUGGCAGCGGUGAGGAUGCUGCUCCUGGUAAAGUCACUGGCAUUUCCUGUUAGCAACUACCUUGUGGUGGCCUCAGGUGAACCACGUUUAAUUCAGUGUAAUUUUACUGUGUUCUGUGAAGUCACUUAGAUUUUAUGUUAGCAAAUGAGGGGAGAGAGGGCUGUGAAUGAUGCGUUUGUGGUGCCAAGCAGGAUUGUACACCUGUCCACGCUCAGUUGCCUUUGCUUGCUGUUUGUACUUAACCAAAACUUGGAAAGGCUGUUCAAAUUCUGAAGUGAACAUAAUCUCAUUGCUUUCAAUGGGAAUUGUGAAGCUGGGAGGGGGAAGCUGGGGAUGUGAAGAAUCCCCACCAUCUGGUUCACAGACCCAGCAGUUUUAACCAGGUCUGGAAGUGUUUCUGGAUCAAAGGGCUGGCUGAUGGGCAGCCCUUAACAUCUUCCAGCACAACACCUCCUCCAUCUCUGCUCUGCCCAUCGUCCCAGCAGCAGUUCAAAUGUUGAUGUGCUGAAUGACUUCUCUCUUAAAACAGAUGGAAGAGCAGUGGCGUGCAAGUCCCCGGGAUAACAGAAAUAAGGAAUGCUGUGCUGUUCCCCCUUGGUUUGUAGCACAUGGCAUGAGCCCUUGUCACGAGAUGAAGGAUUCACAUUCAGAAGUGCCAGGGAGAACAUGGCACAUACUGGUUUCUGAUGUGGGCAGACAGGAGCUGGUACAUGGACCAGUGGAAUGGAAUGUGUGCAUCCCUGUCAGAAAGAAACAGUAUUAAAAACGUUAGAU